CAGUCGCCGCGGGAAUACGGAGGGUGCAAGCGUUAAUCGGAAUUACUGGGCGUAAAGCGCACGCAGGCGGUCUGUCAAGUCAGAUGUGAAAUCCCCGGGCUUAACCUGGGAACUGCAUUUGAAACUGGCAGGCUAGAGUCUUGUAGAGGGGGGUAGAAUUCCAGGUGUAGCGGCGAAAUGCGUAGAGAUCUGGAGGAAUACCGGUGGCGAAGGCGGCCCCCUGGACAAAGACUGACGCUCAGGUGCGAAAGCGUGGGGAGCAAACAGGAUUAGAGACCCGUGUAGUCCCUGUCUCUUAUAC
This 301-nucleotide ribosomal RNA is filed under the name uncultured bacterium. Its description in RNAcentral is "partial 16S ribosomal RNA". It matches the Rfam family "Bacterial small subunit ribosomal RNA", at positions 509 to 807 of the family's 1533-position model. The record is from RNAcentral.